GACGAACGCUGGCGGCGUGCUUAACACAUGCAAGUGGAGCGACGAACCGGGGCUUGCCCCGGGGCAGAGCCGCGAACGGGUGAGUAACACGUGGGUAACCUGCCUCAAUGAUUGGGACAACCCGGGGAAACUCGGGCUAAUACCAAAUGUGUUCACUCCUUUUAAGGGGAGUGAGGAAAGGAAGCUUCGGCCUCCGCAUUGAGAUGGGCCCGCGGGCCCAUUAGCUUGUUGGUGAGGUAACGGCUCACCAAGGCUUCGAUGGUAGCUGGUCUGAGAGGACGAUCAGCCACACUGGGACUGAGACACGGCCCAGACUCCUACGGAGGCAGCAGUGGGGAAUCUUGCACAAUGCGCGAAAGCGUGAUGCAGCAACGCCGCGUGGGGGGAAGACGGGCCUUCGGGUUGUAAA
This 409-nucleotide ribosomal RNA is filed under the name uncultured bacterium. RNAcentral describes it as "bacterial SSU rRNA". It matches the Rfam family "Bacterial small subunit ribosomal RNA", at positions 28 to 429 of the family's 1533-position model. The record is from RNAcentral.